GGGGCUGUGUUUAUUAGAUACAAAACCAACCCACUUUGUGGAGUCCUGGUGAUUCAUAGUAACCGAACGGAUCGCAGUUGGCUUCGGCCCGCGAUGGAUCUUUCAAGUUUCUGACCUAUCAGCUUUCGACGGUAGGGUAUUGGCCUACCGUGGCAGUGACGGGUAACGGGGAAUUAGGGUUCGAUUCCGGAGAGGGAGCCUGAGAAACGGCUACCACAUCUAAGGAAGGCAGCAGGCGCGCAAAUUACCCAAUGAAAACAGUUUCGAGGUAGUGACGAGAAAUAACAAUACAGGGCAUUUUAUGCUCUGUAAUUGGAAUGAUGGGAAUGUAAAACCCUUCCAGAGUAACAAUUGGAGGGCAAGUCUGGUGCCAGCAGCCGCGGUAAUUCCAGCUCCAAUAGUGUAUAUUAGAGUUGUUGCAGUUAAAAAGCUCGUAGUUGGAUUUCUGUCGUGGUCAUCCGGCUCCGCCCGUA
This 473-nucleotide ribosomal RNA is filed under the name Eimeria jerfinica. Its description in RNAcentral is "SSU rRNA". It matches the Rfam family "Eukaryotic small subunit ribosomal RNA", at positions 197 to 669 of the family's 1831-position model. Lineage: Eukaryota; Apicomplexa; Conoidasida; Eucoccidiorida; Eimeriidae. The record is from RNAcentral.